This 349-nucleotide ribosomal RNA is filed under the name Sus scrofa (pig). RNAcentral describes it as "partial small subunit ribosomal RNA". It matches the Rfam family "Bacterial small subunit ribosomal RNA", at positions 796 to 1341 of the family's 1533-position model. Lineage: Eukaryota; Metazoa; Chordata; Mammalia; Artiodactyla; Suidae. The record is from RNAcentral.
CUAGCCCUAAACCCAAAUAGUUACAUAACAAAACUAUUCGCCAGAGUACUACUCGCAACUGCCUAAAACUCAAAGGACUUGGCGGUGCUUCACAUCCACCUAGAGGAGCCUGUUCUAUAAUCGAUAAACCCCGAUAGACCUUACCAACCCUUGCCAAUUCAGCCUAUAUACCGCCAUCUUCAGCAAACCCUAAAAAGGAACAAUAGUAAGCACAAUCAUAGCACAUAAAAACGUUAGGUCAAGGUGUAGCUUAUGGGUUGGAAAGAAAUGGGCUACAUUUUCUACAUAAGAAUAUCCACCACACGAAAGUUUUUAUGAAACUAAAAACCAAAGGAGGAUUUAGCAGUAA